UUAAGGGGUGCCACAGCAAUUGGCUGUUGGCUGAGAUCAUACCCUCUGACCUGAACAGGGUAAUGCCUGCGUAGGGAAAAAG
Molecule: non-coding RNA, 82 nt
Filed under: uncultured Prevotella sp.
Lineage: Bacteria; Pseudomonadati; Bacteroidota; Bacteroidia; Bacteroidales; Prevotellaceae
Source: RNAcentral